CCUACGGGUGGCAGCAGUGGGGAAUAUUGGACAAUGGGCGAAAGCCUGAUCCAGCCAUGCCGCGUGUGUGAAGAAGGCCUUCGGGUUGUAAAGCACUUUCAGUGGGGAAGAAAGCCUUGGGGCUAAUACCCUCGAGGAAGGACAUCACCCACAGAAGAAGCACCGGCUAACUCCGUGCCAGCAGCCGCGGUAAUACGGAGGGUGCGAGCGUUAAUCGGAAUUACUGGGCGUAAAGCGCGCGUAGGCGGUCUGAUAAGCCGGUUGUGAAAGCCCCGGGCUCAACCUGGGAACGGCAUCCGGAACUGUCAGGCUAGAGUGCAGGAGAGGAAGGUAGAAUUCCCGGUGUAGCGGUGAAAUGCGUAGUGAUCGGGAGGAAUACCAGUGGCGAAGGCGGCCUUCUGGACUGACACUGACGCUGAGGUGCGAAAGCGUGGGUAGCAAACAGGAUUAGAUACCCUAGUAGUC
Molecule: ribosomal RNA, 465 nt
Filed under: Vreelandella stevensii
Lineage: Bacteria; Pseudomonadati; Pseudomonadota; Gammaproteobacteria; Oceanospirillales; Halomonadaceae
Description: partial 16S ribosomal RNA
Rfam family: Bacterial small subunit ribosomal RNA
Source: RNAcentral